CGAUAAGGCCCUUCUCGAUUUUCGUUUUGUGUAAUUUUUCCAUUGUUGUGAUCACCAUUUUCUUUUCUACAGGUUGACUGAAGCAAAAAACCCAACCGCAACAUGAGCCGGAGAAGCCAUCGCACCGGAGAGCCCCACCGCUGGUGAGUUUCGAUUUUUCAUAUUUUUUCCGCCCACUGAGGCCCUUUAACAUGUGUGCUCGUAGGAAUCGAUAUAAAAU
RNAcentral lists this long non-coding RNA (220 nucleotides) under Carica papaya (papaya). RNAcentral describes it as "long non-coding RNA (CPAP_LNC016486)". The record is from RNAcentral. Lineage: Eukaryota; Viridiplantae; Streptophyta; Magnoliopsida; Brassicales; Caricaceae.